GCCUACGGGGGGCAGCAGUGAGGAAUAUUGGUCAAUGGUCGGGAGCCUGAACCAGCCAAGUCGCGUGAGGGAUGACGGCCCUAUGGGUUGUAAACCUCUUUUGUCGGAGAACAAAACCCGGGACGUGUCCCGGACUGCGUGUAUCCGAAGAAAAAGCAUCGGCUAACUCCGUGCCAGCAGCCGCGGUAAUACGGAGGAUGCGAGCGUUAUCCGGAAUGAUUGGGCGUAAAGGGUGCGUAGGCGGCCUGCUAAGUCUGGAGUGAAAGGUACCGGCUCAACCGGUACAGGCUCUGGAAACUGGCGGG
RNAcentral lists this ribosomal RNA (305 nucleotides) under uncultured bacterium. RNAcentral describes it as "bacterial SSU rRNA". It matches the Rfam family "Bacterial small subunit ribosomal RNA", at positions 337 to 640 of the family's 1533-position model. The record is from RNAcentral.